AAUGUGAAGAGAGAGUGAAAGCUUCCAGUUCUGCGCGAGUGGGCUUCUUACUGAUACCAAAGACACCAAUCUUAUCUUCUACAUUACACUCGUGACUCGUCAGUUAAGAGAAUCCGGCCAAUUUCCUUCCGAACAAACGCUGCCACCGUCGGAUUGUCCGAUAGUUCCGGGGACCUUCUCGUAGUCCCUUGCGCAGUGGCGCACUGCUCAGUUCCGCCGGAGGGGAAUGGUGAAAUUUGACGGCCAAAGAGUGGGCCAGACGGUCAUGAGCCUUGGCGCGAACGGUGUUGGCCAAGUUUUGGUCGCCGUGGCGGCGGCUUUUCUCGUCCGUCAUUUGUCUGGACCUGAACCAGCUCUUCCAUCGGAAUACGACGUCGAGCUGGAGGACGGGGAGAAGGAAGAUGGAGACAUUGAAGUCGGUGAAGAAGCUCCAGUCUCCGGGAAAGUCACGCCGGUGACAAUCCGCUGGUGCAAUAUCUCGUGCUUUCUCUCUGAUAAAUCAUCCAAAUCAGUGAGAUGGCUGCUUAAGAAUGUAAGCGGAGAAGCGAAACCAGGAAGAUUAUUGGCAAUAAUGGGACCGUCGGGUUCAGGAAAAACAACGUUGCUCAAUAUUUUGGCGGGUCAGCUAGCGGCUUCACCGCGGUUACAUCUCUCAGGCCUCAUAGAUUUCAAUGGAAAGACUGAUUCAAAUAAGAGGGCUUACAGGUUGGCAUAUGUGAGACAGGAGGACCUCUUUUUCUCACAGCUAACUGUGCGAGAGACACUGAAGCUUGCUGCUGAACUUCAGCUUACUGAGAUAUCUUCCGUAGAAGAGAGAGAAGAAUAUGUUAACAAUCUGCUCUUGAAACUAGGUUUGGUAAACUGUGCCGAAUCAUGUGUUGGUGAUGCAAGAGUUCGUGGGAUCAGUGGGGGUGAAAAAAAACGUCUGUCCCUUGCAUGUGAGCUGAUUGCUAGCCCCUCUGUUAUAUUUGCUGAUGAACCAACAACAGGACUUGAUGCAUUCCAGGCAGAAAAAGUAGUGGAGACACUUAAACAACUUGCGAAGGAUGGGCACACUGUAAUCUGCUCCAUACAUCAACCAAGAGGUUCUGUGUAUAGCAAAUUUGAUGAUAUCGUAUUAUUGACAGAGGGUGCUCUUGUCUAUGUUGGUCCUGCUCACGAGGAACCUUUGGAAUACUUCUCUAAAUUUGGGUAUAAUUGCCCGGAUCAUGUGAAUCCUGCUGAGUUUCUGGCCGAUCUUAUAUCAAUUGACUAUAGUUCUGCAGACAGUGUGUACUCCUCUCAGAAGAGGAUCUACGGUCUUGUUGAGUCAUUCUCUCGAUACUCUUCAACAAUUUUGUAUGCAAUCCCAAUUGAGAAAAGGCAGGUCUUGGCUGGUAAGGAAUCCAGGAAAAGUAAGCUUUUGAAGAAAGGAGGUUGGUGGAGGCAAUUCUGCUUGCUCCUCAAGCGCGCAUGGAUGCAGGCUUCUCGGGAUGGACCAACAAAUAAGGUUCGAGCACGAAUGUCCAUUGCAUCAGCCAUCAUAUUUGGUUCAGUCUUUUGGAGAAUGGGAAGAUCUCAGACAUCAAUCCAGGAUAGGAUGGGUUUGCUUCAGGUUGCAGCAAUCAACACUGCAAUGGCUGCUCUCACCAAGACUGUGGGUGUUUUUCCGAAGGAACGUGCAAUUGUUGACAGGGAGCGUGCAAAGGGAUCUUAUACGUUAGGCCCAUAUCUACUUUCUAAAUUGUUGGCCGAAAUUCCAAUUGGAGCUGCUUUUCCACUGAUAUUUGGCGCUAUCUUGUACCCCAUGGCUCGUCUUCACCCAACCGUAUCAAGAUUUGGGAAGUUCUGCAGUAUUGUCACGGUUGAAUCUUUUGCUGCAUCUGCUAUGGGGCUCACUGUAGGGGCUAUGGUUCCUAGCACAGAAGCAGCAAUGGCAGUGGGGCCCUCACUCAUGACAGUUUUUAUUGUUUUUGGUGGCUAUUAUGUAAAUGCAGACAACACGCCGAUCAUCUUUCGUUGGAUUCCUAGCGUUUCUCUUAUAAGAUGGGCCUUUCAAGGGCUUUGCGUCAAUGAGUUUAAAGGUCUUCAAUUUGAUUGUCAGCAUUCAUUUGAUAUUCAAACUGGAGAACAGGCACUCGAACGACUUUCAUUUGGUCAAAGCCGUAUCAGGGGUACACUGAUAGCUCAAAGUAGGAUACUUUUGUUCUGGUAUUAUACCGCUUACCUUCUCCUAGAAAAAAAUAAGCCCAAAUACCAGCAGCUUGAGCCACCACCUCUCGACGAAACACAGCCAGAUGAUCUACAAAUCGAAACCUUUGACAAUGACAACUUGCACAAAACUGAACGCGAAGGAGAUCUACAAAUCGAAACCUUUGACAAUGACAACUUGCACAAAACUGAACGCGAAGGAGAUCUACAAAUCGAAACCUUUGACAAUGACAACUUGCACAAAACUGAACGCGAAGGAGAUCUACAAAUCGAAACCUUUGACAAUGACAACUUGCACAAAACUGAACGCGAAGGAGAUCUACAAAUCGAAACCUUUGACAAUGACAACUUGCACAAAACUGAACGCGAAGGAGAUCUACAAAUCGAAACCUUUGACAAUGACAACUUGCACAAAACCGAACGCGAAGGAGAUCUACAAAUCGAAACCUUUGACCAUGACAACUUGCACAAAACCGAACGUGAAGGAGAUCUACAAAUUGGAACCUUUGAUAAUGACAACUUGGACAAAAGCCAACCUGAGGGAGAACUACAAAUGAAAACCUUUGAUAAUGACAACUUGGACAAAAGCCAACCUGAAGGAGAUCUACAAAUGAAAACCUUUGAUAAUGACAACUUGGACAAAAGCCAACCUGAAGGAGAUCUACAAAUGAAAACCUUUGAUAAUGACAACUUGGACAAAAGCCAACCUGAAGGAGAUCUACAAAUGAAAACCUUUGAUAAUGACAACUUGGACAAAAGCCAACCUGAAGGAGAUCUACAAAUGAAAACCUUUGAUAAUGACAACUUGGACAAAAGCCAACCUGAGGGAGAUCUACAAAUGAAAACCUUUGAUAAUGAGAACUUGGACAAAACCCAACUUGAGGGAGAUCUACAAACGAAAACCUUUGAUAAUGAGAACUUGGACAAAACCCAACUUGAGGGAGAUUUACAAAUUGAAUCCUUUGACAAUGACGACAUGGAGAAACCCCCAUCUCUCGAACAAGUUGAAUCGAAGGAUGCCGAUAUUGAAACACCCGAAAUCGAUCAAAUCCGACCAUUUAUUCUAGAAGGUGCUAAGUAAGGAGAUGUGAUGGCAAAUAAAGGAGGCUGUUGCCUUACUUAAGCUAAUAAGCUGUUGUAGUUGUAGAAUGUGAAACAUUGCAGUUACUUUGGCACUCAAUACAUAAUUGAGUUAUGAAUUUAAUGUGUAAUAAUAAUUUUGAUGAGGUUUCCAUUUUGGAGAGGAUGAAGGAUGAUGGUUGGACAGCAUGGAUGAAGUUGUGCAUCACAUCAUGGCAUCUUGACUCCAAAGUGUAAACUAACACUUAACCCAAUUAGCAGGAGACAAUUUGACUGUUGAUUGAAAAUUUACAAAAGGAAUCUUCCCCAUUUGCAAUGAGGGAGGUAUAAUAUUAGACAGUUUAUACCAAGAUAUAGCUUCGUAACUAAUAUUGUCGAAAAGUCUUGUGUAGGUGUGUGUCUUUACUGCUUGAGCUUUGUGGUUAAAUGUGAUUGCCAAUGACAUAGUAGAUGAUAGCAUAAGUUCAUUAAUUAUAGUGUAUCUAUUUUGUCUCGAAUACAUGAAAAAAGGAUAUAAAAUCCUAUUCACUCAACCUGUGAGUGAGUCGACUGAAAAGGUUGGAGAUUCAAA
Non-coding RNA from Cucurbita pepo subsp. pepo (vegetable marrow), 3841 nucleotides. NCBI's taxonomy places the organism in Eukaryota, Viridiplantae, Streptophyta, Magnoliopsida, Cucurbitales, Cucurbitaceae. The record is from RefSeq and is a predicted model, not a curated record.